This 286-nucleotide long non-coding RNA is filed under the name Lathyrus oleraceus (garden pea). RNAcentral describes it as "Pisum sativum (pea) long non-coding RNA (PSAT_LNC020023)". Lineage: Eukaryota; Viridiplantae; Streptophyta; Magnoliopsida; Fabales; Fabaceae. The record is from RNAcentral.
CAAAAAUGAUUUGAAUGAGUUAGUUCUUUUUUUGGCUUUUUUGAAGGUUUAGGUCAAGUAUAGUUAAGUCUAUUUACAAGUUUGAUUAAGAAAAGGAAGUUUGAAAAUUCAAUGGCAUAAGACCAAAGUUUCUAUCUUUUCGCAAAGUGGUCAAAGUUUAGAACAAAAUAAGUUCAAUCAAAGAAGAUUUUGAAAAAAAAGGAGGGAGAGAUUUUGGAAUUAAAGAAAUGGGGAGAAGAUGAAGGGACUAGUCCUAUGCACAAAGUUAAAAGUUAAGAGUUGAAAA